GCAUUCCCACAGCCUCUUCUGGGGCUGGCAAGGCUCAGAGAGGCAUUUGAAAUGGCUAUUAUUGACACCCAUAGACUUGGUCCGGAAUGGAGACAGAAGAAAGAUUCGGUUGAAGAUGUCCCUGUGUGGAUCUCAGUUUGCGCUCUGAGCGACGUCCUGGCUCAUUUGGGUGUGACGGUGAGAGCAGAGGCGCUCUGCUGACAGUUUUUUCUUGUCUAAGCUUCCAUUCCGCAUCCACAAUAUGACUCGCCUUCCACUCCAGUUAACUUCUUGGAAGUCCAGAGCACUUAGUCAAAGCUGUUUACAAAAUGCAAAGCAUCUGGGCGGCCAAGGCAGAGGCUCCUGUGUUCUCUAUGUA
This 358-nucleotide long non-coding RNA is filed under the name Homo sapiens (human). RNAcentral's name for it is "non-protein coding lnc-FLRT2-1:5". Lineage: Eukaryota; Metazoa; Chordata; Mammalia; Primates; Hominidae. The record is from RNAcentral.